GACGAACGCUGGCGGCGGGCUUAACACAUGCAAGUCGAACGGAAAGGCCCUGCUUUUGUGGGGUUCUCGAGUGGCGAACGGGUGAGUAACACGUGAGUAACCUGCUCUUGACUUUGGGAUAACUUCAGGAAACUGGGGCUAAUACCGGAUAGGAGCUCCUGCUGCAUGGUGGGGGGUGGAAAGUUUCGGCGGUUGGGGAUGGAUGCGCGGCUUAUCAGCUUGUUGGUGGGGUAGUGGCUUACCAAGGCUUUGACGGGUAGCCGGCCUGAGAGGGUGACCGGCCACAUUGGGACUGAGAUACGGCCCAGACUCCUACGGGAGGCAGCAGUGGGGAAUAUUGCACAAUGGGCGGAAGCCUGAUGCAGAAACGCCGCGUGCGGGAUGACGGCCUGCGGGUUGUAAACCGCUUUCGCCUGUGACGAAGCGUGAGUGACGGUAAUGGGUAAAGAAGCACCGGCUAACUACGUG
Molecule: ribosomal RNA, 468 nt
Filed under: uncultured bacterium
Lineage: Bacteria
Description: partial 16S ribosomal RNA
Rfam family: Bacterial small subunit ribosomal RNA
Source: RNAcentral